This 1380-nucleotide ribosomal RNA is filed under the name Triticum aestivum (bread wheat). RNAcentral's name for it is "partial small subunit ribosomal RNA". The record is from RNAcentral. Lineage: Eukaryota; Viridiplantae; Streptophyta; Magnoliopsida; Poales; Poaceae.
AUGUGGGGAUUUGGGGAUUUCUCCACUCGCGAGCAGUUGUGCGCCAACUGCUCAUCUCUGAUGGCUGAGGAGAAGGAGGGCCCUGCAGAUGCAGCCGUCGUCGCCAACCCCCUCCACGACGACGACAUCCUCAGGGAGAUCCUGCUCCGCCUCCCGUCGGCGGCAUCCCUUGCCCAAGCCGCGCUCGUCUCCGGCCGCUGGCGCCGCAUCGCCUCCGACUCCAAGUUCCUCUGCCGCUUCCGCGAGCGCCAUCCGUCGUCGCCCCUCGUCGGCCUCUUCGCCUCCGAUGACGGCCGCGGCUGCGCGCCGUGGCCCCAUUUCUACCCAGCCCUCUCCGGCCGGGGUUCCGACCCGGACAUCACCGCCGUCACGCGCAAAGGCGACUUCUUCCUCACCCGCUUCGACGGCGAGCCGAGCCUGCGCCUCCGGGACUGCCGCAAUGGCCUCCUCCUCCUCUCCCUGGAGGAUAGUUCCCUCUGCAUCUACGACCCUGUCUCCAAGCGGCGAGUGGGUAUUCCCCGCCGCCCACAUGAUGGCACGGCGGGCAGCCAAUGCUUGGCGGAUUGCUUGCUCGACGCCGGCCGUGGCACUGGCACGUCCUCCACCGUGCGGCAAUGUGGCCAAAGGAUGAUGCCACAAGCCAUGGAGUCCUUCCGUGUGGUGUCCCUGCAGCAGCAAAGCCAGGAGAUACGAGCCCUUGUGUACGACUCCAACACUCUCGAGUGGCACCACCACCCGUGGGUGAGUCCGCCGACGGACGGCAUAAAAAGGCUGCCGAAAUGGGGCACGACGGCGAUGUACGCAGCCGGCAACGUCUUCUGGAGGUGCGCCCAACAAUCUUUGGUGCUCGUGCUUGAGACGAGCACCAUGGAGUUCUCGUUGCGCCCUCUCCCGCCGGACUUGAGCUUUCAUGUGCCUUCAAGAUACGCCAUCGGAGAGAUCGAGGACGGCAAGGGCUGCCUCGUGUGCCUUACAGGCCUGACUGGCGAGGAAACCCCCACCUUGGAAGUUUGGGUACUCGAUACCAACAUGUGGAAGCUCCACUCAUCAUUGAACAACAAAUUGUGGAAGCUUGACUCAUCGGAAAAAUGGUGGAGGCUCGAGAAGAAAAUCCCUGUGAGCCAACUGCUUGGCGAAUCUGCUCGGGUGCGUCAAGUUCGCAUGGUGAUCAAUGGACUAGCGCUACUUUGCAAGGACGACCAUGACCCUCAGUUUGUGGUCGACUUGCAGAGCAUGGCUCUGCUGGCCAAGUUUCAGUUUCGGGGAUACCCGUACCAGAUGUCAUGGCCGCCUGCUGGGUUGGCCACAACUAAUUCCAGAUCCACGUCUUCUCUGGAAGAUACCAACAUAUUGCACCAGUUUUACCUGAAGGGGAACUGA